GAAGCAGCUUGCUGCUUUGCUGACGAGUGGCGGACGGGUGAGUAAUGUCUGGGAAACUGCCUGAUGGAGGGGGAUAACUACUGGAAACGGUGGCUAAUACCGCAUAACGUCGCAAGACCAAAGAGGGGGACCUUCGGGCCUCUUGCCAUCAGAUGUGCCCAGAUGGGAUUAGCUUGUUGGUGAGGUAACGGCUCACCAAGGCGACGAUCCCUAGCUGGUCUGAGAGGAUGACCAGCCACACUGGAACUGAGACACGGUCCAGACUCCUACGGGAGGCAGCAGUGGGGAAUAUUGCACAAUGGGCGCAAGCCUGAUGCAGCCAUGCCGCGUGUAUGAAGAAGGCCUUCGGGUUGUAAAGUACUUUCAGCGGGGAGGAAGGUGUUGUGGUUAAUAACCGCAGCAAUUGACGUUACCCGCAGAAGAAGCACCGGCUAACUCCGUGCCAGCAGCCGCGGUAAUACGGAGGGUGCAAGCGUUAAUCGGAAUUACUGGGCGUAAAGCGCACGCAGGCGGUCUGUCAAGUCGGAUGUGAAAUCCCCGGGCUCAACCUGGGAACUGCAUUCGAAACUGGCAGGCUUGAGUCUUGUAGAGGGGGGUAGAAUUCCAGGUGUAGCGGUGAAAUGCGUAGAGAUCUGGAGGAAUACCGGUGGCGAAGGCGGCCCCCUGGACAAAGACUGACGCUCAGGUGCGAAAGCGUGGGGAGCAAACAGGAUUAGAUACCCUGGUAGUCCACGCCGUAAACGAUGUCUACUUGGAGGUUGUGCCCUUGAGGCGUGGCUUCCGGAGCUAACGCGUUAAGUAGACCGCCUGGGGAGUACGGCCGCAAGGUUAAAACUCAAAUGAAUUGACGGGGGCCCGCACAAGCGGUGGAGCAUGUGGUUUAAUUCGAUGCAACGCGAAGAACCUUACCUGGUCUUGACAUCCACAGAACUUUCCAGAGAUGGAUUGGUGCCUUCGGGAACUGUGAGACAGGUGCUGCAUGGCUGUCGUCAGCUCGUGUUGUGAAAUGUUGGGUUAAGUCCCGCAACGAGCGCAACCCUUAUCCUUUGUUGCCAGCGGUCCGGCCGGGAACUCAAAGGAGAC
RNAcentral lists this ribosomal RNA (1083 nucleotides) under Salmonella enterica. RNAcentral's name for it is "bacterial SSU rRNA". It matches the Rfam family "Bacterial small subunit ribosomal RNA", at positions 72 to 1149 of the family's 1533-position model. Lineage: Bacteria; Pseudomonadati; Pseudomonadota; Gammaproteobacteria; Enterobacterales; Enterobacteriaceae. The record is from RNAcentral.